Molecule: transfer RNA, 74 nt
Filed under: Stegodyphus mimosarum
Lineage: Eukaryota; Metazoa; Arthropoda; Arachnida; Araneae; Eresidae
Rfam family: tRNA
About the family: Transfer RNA (tRNA) molecules are approximately 80 nucleotides in length. Their secondary structure includes four short double-helical elements and three loops (D, anti-codon, and T loops). Further hydrogen bonds mediate the characteristic L-shaped molecular structure. tRNAs have two regions of fundamental functional importance: the anti-codon, which is responsible for specific mRNA codon recognition, and the 3' end, to which the tRNAs corresponding amino acid is attached (by aminoacyl-tRNA synthetases). tRNAs cope with the degeneracy of the genetic code in two manners: having more than one tRNA (with a specific anti-codon) for a particular amino acid; and 'wobble' base-pairing, i.e. permitting non-standard base-pairing at the 3rd anti-codon position.
Source: Rfam by way of RNAcentral
GGUUCCAUGGUAUAACGGUCAUCACUCUGGACUUGGAAAUCCAGCAAUCCGAGUUCAAAAUCUCGGUGGAACCU